AUCACCUUGGUAUCUUGUUAAAGUGCAGAUUAUGAUUCAGCAAGUCAAGCAGGGCCUGAGAUCCUGCAUUUUUAACAAGUGCCCCGGUGGUGCUGA
Molecule: microRNA precursor, 96 nt
Filed under: Loxodonta africana (African savanna elephant)
Lineage: Eukaryota; Metazoa; Chordata; Mammalia; Proboscidea; Elephantidae
Description: mir-544 microRNA precursor family
Rfam family: mir-544 microRNA precursor family
Source: Rfam by way of RNAcentral